Molecule: transfer RNA, 80 nt
Organism: Trametes pubescens
Lineage: Eukaryota; Fungi; Basidiomycota; Agaricomycetes; Polyporales; Polyporaceae
Rfam family: tRNA
About the family: Transfer RNA (tRNA) molecules are approximately 80 nucleotides in length.
Source: Rfam
GGCGCUAUAGUGUAGUGGUUAUCACUUGGGAUUCUGAUUGCAGCGUUCCCAAGACCCAGGUUCGAUCCCUGGUAGCGCCU